Molecule: ribosomal RNA, 492 nt
Filed under: uncultured bacterium
Lineage: Bacteria
Description: partial 16S ribosomal RNA
Rfam family: Bacterial small subunit ribosomal RNA
Source: RNAcentral
AGUGAACGCUGGCGGUAGGCCUAACACAUGCAAGUCGAACGGCAGCACAGUAAGAGCUUGCUCUUACGGGUGGCGAGUGGCGGACGGGUGAGGAAUACAUCGGAAUCUACUUUUUCGUGGGGGAUAACGUAGGGAAACUUACGCUAAUACCGCAUACGACCUACGGGUGAAAGCAGGGGAUCUUCGGACCUUGCGCGAUUGAAUGAGCCGAUGUCGGAUUAGCUAGUUGGCGGGGUAAAGGCCCACCAAGGCGACGAUCCGUAGCUGGUCUGAGAGGAUGAUCAGCCACACUGGAAGUGGGACACGGUCCAGACUCCUACGGGAGGCAGCAGUGGGGAAUAUUGGACAAUGGGCGCAAGCCUGGUCCAGCCAUACCGCGUGGGUGAAGAAGGCCUUCGGGUUGUAAAGCCCUUUUGUUGGGAAAGAAAAGCAGCAGGUUAAUACCCCGCUGUUCUGACGGUACCCAAAGAAUAAGCACCGGCUAACUUCGUG